UGCCAGCCGCCGCGGUAAUACCGGCAGCCCAAGUGAUGACCGAUCUUAUUGGGCCUAAAGCGUCCGUAGCUGGCCGCGCAAGUCCAUCGGGAAAUCCACCUGCCCAACAGGUGGGCGCCCGGUGGAAACUGUGCGGCUUGGGACCGGAAGGCGCGACGGGUACGUCCGGGGUAGGAGUGAAAUCCCGUAAUCCUAGACGGACCGCCGAUGGCGAAAGCACGUCGCGAGAACGGAUCCGACAGUGAGGGACGAAAGCCAGGGUCUCGAACCGGAUUAGAUA
RNAcentral lists this ribosomal RNA (280 nucleotides) under uncultured bacterium. RNAcentral's name for it is "partial 16S ribosomal RNA". It matches the Rfam family "Archaeal small subunit ribosomal RNA", at positions 456 to 735 of the family's 1478-position model. The record is from RNAcentral.